AGCUCUGGCUCCGUGGCUUAGCUG
RNAcentral lists this non-coding RNA (24 nucleotides) under Cricetulus griseus (Chinese hamster). Lineage: Eukaryota; Metazoa; Chordata; Mammalia; Rodentia; Cricetidae. The record is from RNAcentral.